UACGGAGGGUGCAAGCGUUAUCCGGAAUCACUGGGUUUAAAGGGUGCGUAGGCGGCCCGAUAAGUCAGUCGUGAAAUCGCUGGGCUCAACCCAUGCAAUUGCGAUUGAUACUGUUGGACUUGAAUCAGGUUGAGGCUGGCGGAAUGCGACAUGUAGCGGUGAAAUGCUUAGAUAUGUCGCAGAACACCGAUUGCGAAGGCAGCCAGCUGGGCCUGUAUUGACGCUGAGGCACGAAAGCGUGGGGAGCAAACAGG
Molecule: ribosomal RNA, 254 nt
Filed under: uncultured bacterium
Lineage: Bacteria
Description: partial 16S ribosomal RNA
Rfam family: Bacterial small subunit ribosomal RNA
Source: RNAcentral